Molecule: ribosomal RNA, 1482 nt
Filed under: Enterococcus hirae
Lineage: Bacteria; Bacillati; Bacillota; Bacilli; Lactobacillales; Enterococcaceae
Description: bacterial SSU rRNA
Rfam family: Bacterial small subunit ribosomal RNA
Source: RNAcentral
GACGAACGCUGGCGGCGUGCCUAAUACAUGCAAGUCGAACGCUUCUUUUUCCACCGGAGCUUGCUCCACCGGAAAAAGAGGAGUGGCGAACGGGUGAGUAACACGUGGGUAACCUGCCCAUCAGAAGGGGAUAACACUUGGAAACAGGUGCUAAUACCGUAUAACAAUCGAAACCGCAUGGUUUUGAUUUGAAAGGCGCUUUCGGGUGUCGCUGAUGGAUGGACCCGCGGUGCAUUAGCUAGUUGGUGAGGUAACGGCUCACCAAGGCGACGAUGCAUAGCCGACCUGAGAGGGUGAUCGGCCACAUUGGGACUGAGACACGGCCCAAACUCCUACGGGAGGCAGCAGCAGGGAAUCUUCGGCAAUGGACGAAAGUCUGACCGAGCAACGCCGCGUGAGUGAAGAAGGUUUUCGGAUCGUAAAACUCUGUUGUUAGAGAAGAACAAGGAUGAGAGUAACUGUUCAUCCCUUGACGGUAUCUAACCAGAAAGCCACGGCUAACUACGUGCCAGCAGCCGCGGUAAUACGUAGGUGGCAAGCGUUGUCCGGAUUUAUUGGGCGUAAAGCGAGCGCAGGCGGUUUCUUAAGUCUGAUGUGAAAGCCCCCGGCUCAACCGGGGAGGGUCAUUGGAAACUGGGAGACUUGAGUGCAGAAGAGGAGAGUGGAAUUCCAUGUGUAGCGGUGAAAUGCGUAGAUAUAUGGAGGAACACCAGUGGCGAAGGCGGCUCUCUGGUCUGUAACUGACGCUGAGGCUCGAAAGCGUGGGGAGCAAACAGGAUUAGAUACCCUGGUAGUCCACGCCGUAAACGAUGAGUGCUAAGUGUUGGAGGGUUUCCGCCCUUCAGUGCUGCAGCUAACGCAUUAAGCACUCCGCCUGGGGAGUACGACCGCAAGGUUGAAACUCAAAGGAACUGACGGGGGCCCGCACAAGCGGUGGAGCAUGUGGUUUAAUUCGAAGCAACGCGAAGAACCUUACCAGGUCUUGACAUCCUUUGACCACUCUAGAGAUAGAGCUUCCCCUUCGGGGGCAAAGUGACAGGUGGUGCAUGGUUGUCGUCAGCUCGUGUCGUGAGAUGUUGGGUUAAGUCCCGCAACGAGCGCAACCCUUAUUGUUAGUUGCCAUCAUUUAGUUGGGCACUCUAGCAAGACUGCCGGUGACAAACCGGAGGAAGGUGGGGAUGACGUCAAAUCAUCAUGCCCCUUAUGACCUGGGCUACACACGUGCUACAAUGGGAAGUACAACGAGUCGCAAAGUCGCGAGGCUAAGCUAAUCUCUUAAAGCUUCUCUCAGUUCGGAUUGUAGGCUGCAACUCGCCUACAUGAAGCCGGAAUCGCUAGUAAUCGCGGAUCAGCACGCCGCGGUGAAUACGUUCCCGGGCCUUGUACACACCGCCCGACACACCACGAGAGUUUGUAACACCCGAAGUCGGUGAGGUAACCUUUUGGAGCCAGCCGCCUAAGGUGGGAUAGAUGAUUGGGGUG